CUCUUUACUAAUUGAAAACUGACAGCAAAAAUGCCCUCAACCGCAAACAUCUAGAAGAAAAUGGAGACAUUCGGACAGGCUGAAAUACUUUGAGUUUUAUGAGUUCUAAUAAGGUUAAUGAAGGCUCUGGAAAGAAUUUUGUUUCAUGGUGGACUCAACAAAACAAUGAGCUGGGAUCUUGAGUGAUUGGCCGGAGGGGGAGGCCUGGGAGCCUGGGCCUGAUGAGCUGCGGGUCAAGUUGGGUGAGGCCGCGCCACAGCUUCUUUCCACGCUGACGCAACCUUGGUGGAACUUGGACACUAUCUGUUGCUUGGCCUUCAGACUGCUGUCAGUCUCCAGUCGCUUUAUUAAUUUGCUGCUACAAUGAACUAUUACUAAAAGCCUGCUCUUGCCAGGCGCUGUGAUCGCCCUGCAAAGAUGCUGCCUGCCCUUGGAUCUCCAGUGCAAAGUCAAAGAGAAGCAGAGAAAAGGACACCAAGAUCUCCUUGCCCUGGUGUUAUACGCUGUAUAACCUCUUCUCCUUGAGUAUCUUGGAAAAACUAUCCAAAGGAAAGUUUGAAUCUGCAGAGCAAACACCAUUAACCAAGCCCCCAGCUUCCACUGAAGCAAGUGGAGAAAGAAGGAGAAAGAGAAAAUUCCCUGUGUGCGGGAUCUUUGGUAGAUUAGCUCCACAUGAUCAAGAAUUGUGGAACAGGAGCUGUUGCUACUGACCAGCUUCCCUGUGAGACCCAGUUUCCAGCACUCUGGACCAGCACCAAGGUGGCCUCUGUAGGGUGGACACGGCAUCCACUGUCUCCUGCGAGCCACACUGGCUACUCCACUGCCUGCUGCUGGAGUAUUAUCUCGUUCUGUAACCCCAGCCUCUGCGGAAGGUCUCUCCUUCAUGCCCACGUUUGUUCAGCUGGAGCAUUGCCCCUAGCACUUUGAGGAACUGGAGCUGUUCUCAUUGCUUCUGAAGAUUGCAUCCCUGGGAGCUUGGUGACUCCCAGUACCUCUGCCAAGUGCUUCUCAGGGCACUGUCUUUCUGCUUUUCUUCUUUUUUUUCUUAAACUCAUUUUUUACUAGAAAAUUUCAAACAUAUACAAAAGUAGACAGAUUAGUAUAAUGAAUCCCUCAUCUACACAUUACAGAGUUUCAACAACUAUUAACUCAUGCAUGAUUUUGUUUUCCUCGACUUUUGAAUAUUUCAGGCCUGAGGAGCCUUUCUUUCUGUUGCAUCUUUCUCUGCAAUGCUGGAAUAUGUCUUCAUUGUUUCCUGUUCGUCUGCUCUUCCCCUCCUCCUCUGGCAAAGCUCAUUUGCGCUUCUAACAAUUGAACCCUUUUCUUCUCUAAUACACACAAGACUAGAGUUGUUGGCUGGGAGAGAACACCUUUCUUCCUUGUACUUUUUCUUUGCUUUUAAUCCCACACUUUUGUUUUUCUAGUCUAUUCCUUUAGACUCUGUUAG
Molecule: long non-coding RNA, 1447 nt
Filed under: Equus caballus (horse)
Lineage: Eukaryota; Metazoa; Chordata; Mammalia; Perissodactyla; Equidae
Description: lncRNA (ENSECAG00000029913.2)
Source: RNAcentral